Molecule: transfer RNA, 71 nt
Filed under: Podarcis lilfordi (Lilford's wall lizard)
Lineage: Eukaryota; Metazoa; Chordata; Lepidosauria; Squamata; Lacertidae
Description: tRNA.Lys
Rfam family: tRNA (bases 5-62)
About the family: Transfer RNA (tRNA) molecules are approximately 80 nucleotides in length. Their secondary structure includes four short double-helical elements and three loops (D, anti-codon, and T loops).
Source: RNAcentral
GGGAUAGCUCAGUCAGUAGAGCAUGAGACUCUUAAUCUCAGGGUCUUGGGUUCAAUCCCCAUGUUGGGCCA